Molecule: ribosomal RNA, 253 nt
Filed under: uncultured bacterium
Lineage: Bacteria
Description: partial 16S ribosomal RNA
Rfam family: Bacterial small subunit ribosomal RNA
Source: RNAcentral
UACGGAGGAUGCAAGCGUUAUCCGGAAUGAUUGGGCGUAAAGCGUCCGCAGGUGGCAAUGUAAGUCUGCUGUUAAAGAGUCUAGCUCAACUAGAUAAAAGCAGUGGAAACUACAUAGCUAGAGUACGUUCGGGGCAGAGGGAAUUCCUGGUGUAGCGGUGAAAUGCGUAGAGAUCAGGAAGAACACCAGUGGCGAAGGCGCUCUGCUAGGCCGUAACUGACACUGAGGGACGAAAGCUAGGGGAGCGAACAGG